This 497-nucleotide ribosomal RNA is filed under the name uncultured bacterium. Its description in RNAcentral is "partial 16S ribosomal RNA". It matches the Rfam family "Bacterial small subunit ribosomal RNA", at positions 28 to 507 of the family's 1533-position model. The record is from RNAcentral.
GAUGAACGCUGGCGGCGUGCCUUAUACAUGCAAGUCGAGCGAACAGACGAGGAGCUUGCUCCUGUGAAGUUAGCGGCGGACGGGUGAUUCACACGUGGAUGACCUGCCUAUAAGACUAAGAUAACUUCGGGAAGCCUGAUCUAAUACCGGAUAAUCUAUUGAACCGCAUGGUUCAAAAGUCAAAGACGGUUUUGCUGUCACUUAUAGAUGGAUCCGCGCUGCAUUAGCAAGUUGGUAAGGUAACGGCUUACCAAGGCGACGAUGCGUAGCCGACCUGAGAGAGUGAUCGGCCACCUUGGAACGGAGACAGGCACCAGACUCCUACGGGAGGAAGCAGUAGGGAAUCUUCAGCAAUGGGCGAAAGCUUGACGGAGCAACGCCGCGUGAGGGAGGAAGGCCUCCGGAUCGAAACACUCUGUGAUUGGGGAAGAACACACCUGGAAGAAACCAUGCACGAAUUGCCGGACCCUAAUAAGAAGGACACGGCUAACUCCGUG